GACGAACGCUGGCGGCGUGCUUAACACAUGCAAGUCGAACGGAAAGGCCCUGCUUUUGUGGGGUGCUCGAGUGGCGAACGGGUGAGUAACACGUGAGUAACCUGCCCUUGACUUUGGGAUAACUUCAGGAAACUGGGGCUAAUACCGGAUAGGAGCUCCUGCUGCAUGGUGGGGGUUGGAAAGUUUCGGCGGUUGGGGAUGGACUCGCGGCUUAUCAGCUUGUUGGUGGGGUAGUGGCUUACCAAGGUCUUGAUGGGUAGCCGGCCUGAACGGGUGACCGGACACAUUGGGACUGGGAUACGGCCCAGACUCCUACGGGAGGCAGCAGUGGGGAAUAGUGUACAAUGGGAGGAAGCCUGAUGCAGCACCGCCGCGUGCGGGAUGACGGCCUUCGGGUUGUAAACCGAUUUCGCCUGUGACGAAGCGUGAGUGACGGUAAUGGGUAAAGAAGCACCGGCUAACUACGUG
RNAcentral lists this ribosomal RNA (468 nucleotides) under uncultured bacterium. RNAcentral describes it as "partial 16S ribosomal RNA". It matches the Rfam family "Bacterial small subunit ribosomal RNA", at positions 28 to 507 of the family's 1533-position model. The record is from RNAcentral.